Molecule: ribosomal RNA, 487 nt
Filed under: uncultured bacterium
Lineage: Bacteria
Description: bacterial SSU rRNA
Rfam family: Bacterial small subunit ribosomal RNA
Source: RNAcentral
AACGAACGUUAGCGGCGCGCUUAACACAUGCAAGUCGAGCGAGAAAGGGGCAACCCCGGUAAAGCGGCGCACGGGUGAGUAACACGUAGGUAAUCUACCCUCGGGUGGAGGAUAACUUUCCGAAAGGAAGGCUAAUACUGCAUGAGACCACGGCCUCGAAAGGGGCAGGGGUCAAAGCCGGCCUCUGUACACAAGCUGGCGCCUGAGGAUGAGCCUGCGGCCCAUCAGCUAGUUGGUAGGGUAAUGGCCUACCAAGGCGAAGACGGGUAGCUGGUCUGAGAGGAUGAUCAGCCACACUGGAACUGAGACACGGUCCAGACUCCUACGGGAGGCAGCAGUGGGGAAUCUUGCGCAAUGGGCGAAAGCCUGACGCAGCGACGCCGCGUGAGUGAUGAAGGCCUCGGUGUAAGCUCUGUGGAGAGGGACGAAGUAAGUAGUUGGCUAACAUCCAGCAUGAUGACGGUACCUCUUUAGUCAAGCACCGGCU